Molecule: ribosomal RNA, 2571 nt
Filed under: Staphylococcus aureus M0994
Lineage: Bacteria; Bacillati; Bacillota; Bacilli; Caryophanales; Staphylococcaceae
Description: bacterial LSU rRNA
Rfam family: Bacterial large subunit ribosomal RNA
Source: RNAcentral
UUAAGUUAUUAAGGGCGCACGGUGGAUGCCUUGGCACUAGAAGCCGAUGAAGGACGUUACUAACGACGAUAUGCUUUGGGGAGCUGUAAGUAAGCUUUGAUCCAGAGAUUUCCGAAUGGGGAAACCCAGCAUGAGUUAUGUCAUGUUAUCGAUAUGUGAAUACAUAGCAUAUCAGAAGGCACACCCGGAGAACUGAAACAUCUUAGUACCCGGAGGAAGAGAAAGAAAAUUCGAUUCCCUUAGUAGCGGCGAGCGAAACGGGAAGAGCCCAAACCAAAAAGCUUGCUUGUUGGGGUUGUAGGACACUCUAUACGGAGUUACAAAGGACGACAUUAGACGAAUCAUCUGGAAAGAUGAAUCAAAGAAGGUAAUAAUCCUGUAGUCGAAAAUGUUGUCUCUCUUGAGUGGAUCCUGAGUACGACGGAGCACGUGAAAUUCCGUCGGAAUCUGGGAGGACCAUCUCCUAAGGCUAAAUACUCUCUAGUGACCGAUAGUGAACCAGUACCGUGAGGGAAAGGUGAAAAGCACCCCGGAAGGGGAGUGAAAUAGAACCUGAAACCGUGUGCUUACAAGUAGUCAGAGCCCGUUAAUGGGUGAUGGCGUGCCUUUUGUAGAAUGAACCGGCGAGUUACGAUUUGAUGCAAGGUUAAGCAGUAAAUGUGGAGCCGUAGCGAAAGCGAGUCUGAAUAGGGCGUUUAGUAUUUGGUCGUAGACCCGAAACCAGGUGAUCUACCCUUGGUCAGGUUGAAGUUCAGGUAACACUGAAUGGAGGACCGAACCGACUUACGUUGAAAAGUGAGCGGAUGAACUGAGGGUAGCGGAGAAAUUCCAAUCGAACCUGGAGAUAGCUGGUUCUCUCCGAAAUAGCUUUAGGGCUAGCCUCAAGUGAUGAUUAUUGGAGGUAGAGCACUGUUUGGACGAGGGGCCCCUCUCGGGUUACCGAAUUCAGACAAACUCCGAAUGCCAAUUAAUUUAACUUGGGAGUCAGAACAUGGGUGAUAAGGUCCGUGUUCGAAAGGGAAACAGCCCAGACCACCAGCUAAGGUCCCAAAAUAUAUGUUAAGUGGAAAAGGAUGUGGCGUUGCCCAGACAACUAGGAUGUUGGCUUAGAAGCAGCCAUCAUUUAAAGAGUGCGUAAUAGCUCACUAGUCGAGUGACACUGCGCCGAAAAUGUACCGGGGCUAAACAUAUUACCGAAGCUGUGGAUUGUCCUUUGGACAAUGGUAGGAGAGCGUUCUAAGGGCGUUGAAGCAUGAUCGUAAGGACAUGUGGAGCGCUUAGAAGUGAGAAUGCCGGUGUGAGUAGCGAAAGACGGGUGAGAAUCCCGUCCACCGAUUGACUAAGGUUUCCAGAGGAAGGCUCGUCCGCUCUGGGUUAGUCGGGUCCUAAGCUGAGGCCGACAGGCGUAGGCGAUGGAUAACAGGUUGAUAUUCCUGUACCACCUAUAAUCGUUUUAAUCGAUGGGGGGACGCAGUAGGAUAGGCGAAGCGUGCGAUUGGAUUGCACGUCUAAGCAGUAAGGCUGAGUAUUAGGCAAAUCCGGUACUCGUUAAGGCUGAGCUGUGAUGGGGAGAAGACAUUGAGUCUUCGAGUCGUUGAUUUCACACUGCCGAGAAAAGCCUCUAGAUAGAAAAUAGGUGCCCGUACCGCAAACCGACACAGGUAGUCAAGAUGAGAAUUCUAAGGUGAGCGAGCGAACUCUCGUUAAGGAACUCGGCAAAAUGACCCCGUAACUUCGGGAGAAGGGGUGCUCUUUAGGGUUAACGCCCAGAAGAGCCGCAGUGAAUAGGCCCAAGCGACUGUUUAUCAAAAACACAGGUCUCUGCUAAACCGUAAGGUGAUGUAUAGGGGCUGACGCCUGCCCGGUGCUGGAAGGUUAAGAGGAGUGGUUAGCUUCUGCGAAGCUACGAAUCGAAGCCCCAGUAAACGGCGGCCGUAACUAUAACGGUCCUAAGGUAGCGAAAUUCCUUGUCGGGUAAGUUCCGACCCGCACGAAAGGCGUAACGAUUUGGGCACUGUCUCAACGAGAGACUCGGUGAAAUCAUAGUACCUGUGAAGAUGCAGGUUACCCGCGACAGGACGGAAAGACCCCGUGGAGCUUUACUGUAGCCUGAUAUUGAAAUUCGGCACAGCUUGUACAGGAUAGGUAGGAGCCUUUGAAACGUGAGCGCUAGCUUACGUGGAGGCGCUGGUGGGAUACUACCCUAGCUGUGUUGGCUUUCUAACCCGCACCACUUAUCGUGGUGGGAGACAGUGUCAAGCGGGCAGUUUGACUGGGGCGGUCGCCUCCUAAAAGGUAACGGAGGCGCUCAAAGGUUCCCUCAGAAUGGUUGGAAAUCAUUCAUAGAGUGUAAAGGCAUAAGGGAGCUUGACUGCGAGACCUACAAGUCGAGCAGGGUCGAAAGACGGACUUAGUGAUCCGGUGGUUCCGCAUGGAAGGGCCAUCGCUCAACGGAUAAAAGCUACCCCGGGGAUAACAGGCUUAUCUCCCCCAAGAGUUCACAUCGACGGGGAGGUUUGGCACCUCGAUGUCGGCUCAUCGCAUCCUGGGGCUGUAGUCGGUCCCAAGGGU